UACGUAGGGUCCGAGCGUUGUCCGGAAUUACUGGGCGUAAAGAGCUCGUAGGUGGUUUGUCGCGUUGUUCGUGAAAACUCACAGCUUAACUGUGGGCGUGCGGGCGAUACGGGCAGACUUGAGUACUGCAGGGGAGACUGGAAUUCCUGGUGUAGCGGUGAAAUGCGCAGAUAUCAGGAGGAACACCGGUGGCGAAGGCGGGUCUCUGGGCAACAACUGACGCUGAGGAGCGAAAGCGUGGGGAGCGAACAGG
This 253-nucleotide ribosomal RNA is filed under the name uncultured bacterium. RNAcentral's name for it is "partial 16S ribosomal RNA". It matches the Rfam family "Bacterial small subunit ribosomal RNA", at positions 524 to 776 of the family's 1533-position model. The record is from RNAcentral.